RNAcentral lists this ribosomal RNA (1068 nucleotides) under Bacillus licheniformis. RNAcentral's name for it is "bacterial SSU rRNA". It matches the Rfam family "Bacterial small subunit ribosomal RNA", at positions 18 to 1066 of the family's 1533-position model. The record is from RNAcentral. Lineage: Bacteria; Bacillati; Bacillota; Bacilli; Caryophanales; Bacillaceae.
CCUGGCUCAGGACGAACGCUGGCGGCGUGCCUAAUACAUGCAAGUCGAGCGGACCGACGGGAGCUUGCUCCCUUAGGUCAGCGGCGGACGGGUGAGUAACACGUGGGUAACCUGCCUGUAAGACUGGGAUAACUCCGGGAAACCGGGGCUAAUACCGGAUGCUUGAUUGAACCGCAUGGUUCAAUUAUAAAAGGUGGCUUUUAGCUACCACUUACAGAUGGACCCGCGGCGCAUUAGCUAGUUGGUGAGGUAACGGCUCACCAAGGCAACGAUGCGUAGCCGACCUGAGAGGGUGAUCGGCCACACUGGGACUGAGACACGGCCCAGACUCCUACGGGAGGCAGCAGUAGGGAAUCUUCCGCAAUGGACGAAAGUCUGACGGAGCAACGCCGCGUGAGUGAUGAAGGUUUUCGGAUCGUAAAACUCUGUUGUUAGGGAAGAACAAGUACCGUUCGAAUAGGGCGGUACCUUGACGGUACCUAACCAGAAAGCCACGGCUAACUACGUGCCAGCAGCCGCGGUAAUACGUAGGUGGCAAGCGUUGUCCGGAAUUAUUGGGCGUAAAGCGCGCGCAGGCGGUUUCUUAAGUCUGAUGUGAAAGCCCCCGGCUCAACCGGGGAGGGUCAUUGGAAACUGGGGAACUUGAGUGCAGAAGAGGAGAGUGGAAUUCCACGUGUAGCGGUGAAAUGCGUAGAGAUGUGGAGGAACACCAGUGGCGAAGGCGACUCUCUGGUCUGUAACUGACGCUGAGGCGCGAAAGCGUGGGGAGCGAACAGGAUUAGAUACCCUGGUAGUCCACGCCGUAAACGAUGAGUGCUAAGUGUUAGAGGGUUUCCGCCCUUUAGUGCUGCAGCAAACGCAUUAAGCACUCCGCCUGGGGAGUACGGUCGCAAGACUGAAACUCAAAGGAAUUGACGGGGGCCCGCACAAGCGGUGGAGCAUGUGGUUUAAUUCGAAGCAACGCGAAGAACCUUACCAGGUCUUGACAUCCUCUGACAACCCUAGAGAUAGGACUUCCCCUUCGGGGGCAGAGUGACAGGUGGUGCAUGGUUGUCGUCAGCUCGUGUC